Long non-coding RNA from Pyrus x bretschneideri (Chinese white pear), 267 nucleotides. RefSeq lists it as uncharacterized. The record is from RefSeq and is a predicted model, not a curated record. NCBI's taxonomy places the organism in Eukaryota, Viridiplantae, Streptophyta, Magnoliopsida, Rosales, Rosaceae. The transcript is spliced from 4 exons.
UUCUGAUUUGAAGAAAUUUUAAACCCAGAAAGCUUGGGUUUCCUGAGAUCUCUGCCAUCACUGUUCCACCAAACUCGCCAAUAGCGUCCGCUCUUUCGAACCAGGGAAAAUCUAUUUGAUGAUGGGAAUCAUCUGAAUCAGUUCUUGGAUGAUGAUCCAACAAUAUCUCAUUCAUGGUUUGGAUAGUUAUUAAGAAUAUGAUGGGAUAAUCGAGUUGAGUUCAUGAAUUAAACUAGUCCCGGCAAAAGAACUUGCAGACUUACAGCA